AAGUCUGGUGCCAGCAGCCGCGGUAAUUCCAGCUCCAAUAGCGUAUAUUAAAGUUGUUGCAGUUAAAAAGCUCGUAGUUGAAUUUCGGGGUUAGUAGGUUGGUCAUGCCUCUGGUAUGUACUGGUCUCACUGAUUCCUCCUUCCUUAUGAACCGUAAUGCCAUUAAUUUGGUGUUGCGGGGAAUUUGGACUGUUACUUUGAAAGAAUUAGAGUGUUUAAAGCAAGCUAACGCUUGAAUACAUUAGCAUGGAAUAAUGAAAUAGGACGUUCGAUCUUAUUUUGUUGGUUUCUAGGAUUGACGUAAUGAUUAAUAGGGAUAGUUGGGGGCAUUAGUAUUCAAUUGUCAGAGGUGAAAUUCUUGGAUUUAUUGAAGACUAGCUACUGCGAAAGCAUUUGCCAAGGAUGUUUUCAUUAAUCAAGAACGAAAGUUAGGGGAUCGAAGACGAUCAGAUACCGUCGUAGUCUUAACCAUAAACUAUGCCGACUAGGGAUCGGAUGAUGUUAAUUUUUUAAUGACUCAUUCGGCGCCUUACGGGAAACCAAAGUGUUUGGGU
This 554-nucleotide ribosomal RNA is filed under the name Rhizophagus irregularis. RNAcentral describes it as "SSU rRNA". It matches the Rfam family "Eukaryotic small subunit ribosomal RNA", at positions 557 to 1112 of the family's 1831-position model. The record is from RNAcentral. Lineage: Eukaryota; Fungi; Glomeromycota; Glomeromycetes; Glomerales; Glomeraceae.